AUUGAACGCUGGCGGCAUGCCUUACACAUGCAAGUCGAACGGCAGCACGGGUGCUUGCACCUGGUGGCGAGUGGCGAACGGGUGAGUAAUACAUCGGAACAUGUCCUGUAGUGGGGGAUAGCCCGGCGAAAGCCGGAUUAAUACCGCAUACGAUCUACGGAUGAAAGCGGGGGACCUGCGGGCCUCGCGCUAUAGGGUUGGCCGAUGGCUGAUUAGCUAGUUGGUGGGGUAAAGGCCUACCAAGGCGACGAUCAGUAGCUGGUCUGAGAGGACGACCAGCCACACUGGGACUGAGCCACGGCCCAGACUCCUACGGGAGGCAGCAGUGGGGAAUUUUGGACAAUGGGCGAAAGCCUGAUCCAGCAAUGCCGCGUGUGUGAAGAAGGCCUUCGGGUUGUAAAGCACUUUUGUCCGGAAAGAAAUCCUUGGCCCUAAUACGGUCGGGGGAUGACGGUACCGGAAGAAUAAGCACCGGCUAACUACGUG
This 486-nucleotide ribosomal RNA is filed under the name uncultured bacterium. Its description in RNAcentral is "partial 16S ribosomal RNA". It matches the Rfam family "Bacterial small subunit ribosomal RNA", at positions 30 to 507 of the family's 1533-position model. The record is from RNAcentral.